Molecule: ribosomal RNA, 468 nt
Filed under: uncultured bacterium
Lineage: Bacteria
Description: partial 16S ribosomal RNA
Rfam family: Bacterial small subunit ribosomal RNA
Source: RNAcentral
GACGAACGCUGGCGGCGUGCUUAACACAUGCAAGUCGAACGGAAAGGCCCUGCUUUUGUGGGGUGCUCGAGUGGCGAACGGGUGAGUAACACGUGAGUAACCUGCCCUUGACUUUGGGAUAACUUCAGGAAACUGGGGCUAAUACCGGAUAGGAGCUCCUGCUGCAUGGUGGGGGUUGGUAAGUUUCGGCGGUUGGGGAUGGACUCGCGGCUUAUCAGCUUGUUGGUGGGGUAGUGGCUUACCAAGGCUUUGACGGGUAGCCGGCCUGAGAGGGUGACCGGCCACAUUGGGACUGAGAUACGGCGCAGACUGCUACGGGAGGCAGCAGUGGGGAAUAUUGCACAAUGGGCGGAAGCCUGAGGCAGCAACGCCGCGUGCGGGAUGACGGCCUUCGGGGUGUAAACCGCUGUCGCCUGUGACGAAGCGUGAGUGACGGUAAUGGGUAAAGAAGCACCGGCUAACUACGUG